Molecule: ribosomal RNA, 253 nt
Filed under: uncultured bacterium
Lineage: Bacteria
Description: partial 16S ribosomal RNA
Rfam family: Bacterial small subunit ribosomal RNA
Source: RNAcentral
UACGGAGGGUGCAAACGUUGCUCGGAAUCAUUGGGCGUAAAGCGCACGUAGGCGGCCUGUUAAGUCGGAUGUGAAAGCCCCGGGCUCAACCCGGGAAGUGCAUUCGAAACUGGCGGGCUUGAAUAUGGAAGAGGGUCGCGGAAUUCCCGGUGUAGAGGUGAAAUGCGUAGAUAUCGGGAGGAACAUCUGUGGCGAAGGCGACACCCUGGACCAGCACUGACACUGAGGCACGAAAGCGUGGGGAGCAAACAGG